Long non-coding RNA from Andrographis paniculata, 3274 nucleotides. RefSeq lists it as uncharacterized. The transcript has 2 exons. The record is from RefSeq and is a predicted model, not a curated record. Lineage: Eukaryota; Viridiplantae; Streptophyta; Magnoliopsida; Lamiales; Acanthaceae.
ACCUCAUCUUAUCCCAAAUUGAUCUCCCAUCGCCCCAAAUCGAACUCCGAUCCAUAGGCGAUGCUCUUCGCUUUGAGGUAGGCCAAGAACGACCAUGGGCUACCUUCCCUCGACGGCGCGGUUGGACAGUCGUCAUUCUUCGAGUGAUUGGCGGUGUAAAUCUUCCAAGCCGCGACGCUGUGCUCAAAAGAUCGACAUGAGAUAAAAACCUAGGUAUUCUAUUGUGUACUUAACAUCCACUUCCUUUUCUUUAGUAAUUUUAAAUAUUUAGGAGUGAAAAUUUCUAAGAAUAUUCUGGGAAUUGUCUUGUAGUAGUUUAAGUUGCUUUUUCGGUAUUUUCGUGCUUGUGAAAUUGAAGGAAUUUUCAUGGUAGAAUGGUGGAUCUCUUCUUACCUUAUAAGUGCUUAACUUUUCUGUCAUCCCGUGUCUUUCUUAAUCUUUCUCUGCAUUUUGGAAGGAUGACCAAUGCCAUGGUGGUAAGUAAUCAAGGGAUUGCUAUGCUGUGCUAUUUUUUUGACAUAAUCUUGUUAUUUUGAUGAGCUAUGCUUGCUGAUUACCUUAUGUGUUUUGUCAAUUGAGGUUGAGAGAGGGAUGAAGAAGAUGGUGACAAUGAUAGCACUCUUUAUUUUGAAAUAUAUAUGAGGGUGUGAAAUUGGGAUAUUUUGUUUAUUAGUGCUAUUUAAUCAAUCUAUCGAUGAGGUUGUGUCUUGAAUAUGUGGUUCAGUGCUCUCAAUAUACUAUAGAAUAUAAUGUGAAUGAAAGGGAUUUGGAUAGAAAAUGGAUUUAUUUGCAGUGUUCUCAGACUUCAUUUAGUACUAAACUUAAGCAUAUUACCAACAGUAUCUAUUUUUAUGAAAAUCAAGCAAUAAAAUCUAUUUACUCAUUAUCCGAUUCUGCUAUUUCUUCUGUUUGGAAGUAACCGUAUUAGCUGUAGUAUCCAGUUUUGUGGGAAGACUAAGUUUGUUUGGUUUGUUUUUCUGUUUCAGGUAUUUUGAGGAUAGUAACAAAUUUGAACGUAAAUUGGGUAUUGAAGACUAGGUUUUUGAUAUAAUAUUUAAAAGAAAAAUAAUUGUUGAUAUGAUAUUUUUUUUGUUUUUGUUUUUGCAGAAAUGUAAUUAAGAACACAAAAGAGCAUAGCCUAGCACUUUUAACUUGAAUGGUGUAAUGAAAUUCUUAUUGUUUCGUUUAUUUUAUAUUGUCGUAACAGAAACUGGAAUAUUUGGUGAUGGUAGCCCAAAUAAGUUAUUCGAGAAGUGUGAAUGCUACUAUUCCUAACAAUAUUUUGUAUCAAAUGCAUUAUUGACCUUUUCUUGGAUAAUGCUAUGACCUAUUCAUCAAUUCUUGAGGAUGGGGUUUUACCUACAAAAAUUAACACUCUCCUUCAGACAUACUUAUUUUUCUAUUACCCUGGCUGAUUGAAUUUUUUAAAUUGGAAAAAUAGAUCAGGUUUCUCAUGAGGAUAUCACAGCUGAUGGAGAAGAUGAUGAGUAGCUUUUGAGUGUAGUAUUUUAUAUGAAGACGCGAGUUCUUAUUUGUUCUUCUUAAAUUCCGAGGAAGCCAGAAUUUCACUCAUAAUCCAGUUUAUAGAUUUCUAUCAAGAGAAAUUAGCAUAAUGGUAGGUAUUAAUUAUGAACUUAUGAAUUCUAUACAGGUUGUUCUUAUCUCAGAUUGGUAAAUGACUACUGGGUCAUAUUUUGUGAAUUACAUGUGAUAUUUACAGGACUAGCAAAACCAGUUCUAGUUGGAUUUUUUCAUAUUUUGUGAAUUACAUGUGAUAUUUGAAGGACUAGCAAAACCAGUUCUAGUUGGAUUAAAAAAAUCCUUAGUUUCGAGACCCUUAAUAUAAUAGAUGUUAUAUUAUAGCCUUGUAUGUUUGAGUCAUUACUUGUUAUUUAUUAUAAUGAAAUAUGUUAUUUUUUAGAGCCAAUCGAUUUCUAUUAUGCUUGAAUCAUGUAAUUAGCAUUAUUUAUGUGUAAUUUAAGUAUGACCUGAGGCAUCGGGGGUUUGAACCCAUGACCACAAAUCCAACCCCUACACCACCAAGCCAUCCCUUAUGGGACAGGUAUUUGUUUUUAUUAAGAUGAGUUGUUGCUUCACUAAUCGUUUUCUUAUUAUUAGGAAUUUGGUUGUUAAUGUUAAAGUCGUGCUUUAGUGUACUGCUUCAACUUUAUUUUCUUUAUUUUAUUUAUGUUUCAGUUUUUAAAAUUGUGGAUUACUUCAAAUAACUUAGUUAGGGUUGUUCCUAGCAUUUAGGAAGUAGUCAGUGAUUCAGUUUUUAUUGAUGUCUUUUAAAGCCUCUCUUCAAGUGAAUAAACGAGAUAUCCAGUUUCAGAUUCUUAAUUUUAUUUUUCUUUUCUAAUUCCUAAAAUAUACCAAUAAAUAAAUACUUGAAAUUUCAUACCUAACUCUUGCAUUGAUUAAAUAUAUGAUAUAUAUACUUUCAAAAAACCUACAUUUCCUCACUAAUUUUACAAUUAACAAUCACUGUUUAUCUAACUUUUAAUUUUAUGGGUAUUUCUGUGUAGUAAGUACCACAUGUAAUUUGGAAAAUAUUUAGUAGAACAGAAUUUCUCAUACAACUUCUUCACAUGUAUGAUUGCAGCUGGUCUUAGAUAAGUGAUUUUAAUACAAUUGGACUGAAAAUUAUGUCAAUUGAUUUUGAUCGCUACUUAAAACUAAUCUAUGUCUCUCUAUGAUACGGUUUCACCUACUUUUCUUGGAAGGUUUUUUACAUGACCUUAUCAUCAGUUAAGGGGCUUACCCUAGUAUGAUUAUUUUUUUUUUAUUGUUCCUGAUAUUAUAAAACAUAAUUUAUUUACUCCAUGAUUUAUCCCUCAAAUUAUUUUUUUGUAAGAGUUUGACCCUAACUUAUCAACUGCAUAUUAUAUAAGUGAUAUCCUAGUCAUUUUCAAGUAUUUGUUAUAGUUGUUACGAUCCUGGAGACCGUACUUAUUUUUCCGACUAAUCCGGGAGCGAAGAUCCUCAGUGAGGUACUUGACGGAGAUAACAUCGAGUGGACUUAAAAGGAUUUGGUUCGCCGCCCCUGAUUGCUUCAUCAGUGAUUCUGCAAUCGAUGAGUUUGGUCAUUCGUAGUUGUCUUUAUUCACAUACAUUAAGAUUGUAUUGUGGUUUGAUACUAAAAUUAUCUAUUUAGCUAUUACUUAUUGGAUUAGGGGAUCGUAUGUUAGGAAAUUGUUAGUUGGUUGUUAUGUUGUACGACAUUGUGGUAUUUUGGGAUGCUUUAAAGCACUUGAUGUCUAAUAUUCUUUUUUUA